GAUUGAACCCAGGUCUUCCACAUUGCAGGCAGAUUCUUUACCAGCUGGGCUACAAGGGAAGCUGCAAGGGAAAGCAGUCUAAAUAUCCACAAUUGGAUGGUAGUUAAUUAAAUCAAGUGAACAAAUUCACUUGAUGAGAUAGUAUAACUUUUGCAAUAGCAAUAUAGUGGAAAUCUUUGAUAGAGUGCUAAAUUAAAAAAAAAAAACUCUGGAUAUAAAAUGAUAUAUUCUAGAAUUAAAACAAUGGAAAACAGAUUCACAUAUCAAACCAGUGAGCAAGAAUACCUCAGUUUGCAAAGCCCAUUGUUUCAGUAUAAGAAGAAAGUGUCAUCAUUUUGUGGGGGAGCAGGAAGGAGGGAUUUCCAUACUUUUAGGUAAAGCUCAUUACUUCUACAUUUAAAAAUAUUUUUUACUACAAAGGUAAAAUACACGAUAAAAAUGUUCAAAUAUAUACAUGUUUAGAUAUUAGAUGUAUAUAUUGUUCUGAACUGUGCUAUGAUCAACAUCCACUCAACUUUUCUUCUUAAGAAAAUGUCACUUGCUCACCUUUAACUGUCUGAUACCCGAUCCCUGGAGACUCAUGCCAGAACUCUUUCUCAGAGGCUUAGGACUUUAACCUAUAUGAUCUGCUUAAUUUCCUUCAAAUUGCUUUCUUGAAUUACACAUUUACAUUUUAACAGAAAGGUGUUAAUUUACUUCCAGCUGCUAAAAUUAAUUGCCAGUUUACUUUCAAUCUUUGUGUUUUAAUUUACAAGUUAUCAUACACUGCCUCAUGUUUCAUAUGCCGAAUUUUACUGAGUAUCAUAUGAUGGUGAUUCCCAGUAUCAACACUGAUCCUGUCCCUGGGUCCUCGAGACAGCAAAUGCCAGGAGUAGGAUAAGCAAGCAGGAAAUGUGUGAUAGCACUCUGUGCGAGAGAGGAAGGAGCCUGGGAAGGGGAGGAGGAUUGGAUAGGAGCCCUCAGACUGCCCUGCAGCUCUGAGGAGAGCAGGGCAAGGUGGUCAGCAGUCCUUGAGCCGCAAUCACCUCGUCGUGGGCCCUGCAGCUCAGGAAUGGACCCACCUGGUGUCUCUGCCUCCGGAAGGAUCGUCGGCAGGAAGCAGCCUGCGGGCAGCUUGUUCUCUACUGGAAUGCAAGGUUACGUUGCAGAGUACAUCAGCUUGGUCCAGUGAUCAGCCCCAUUCCCUCCUAACCGACAUCUGAGGCACAUUCUCAUGCCCUCAACAUUUUGCAAAAUUAACUGUUCAUGCUGCGUCAUGUUCCAUCUUACUAAAUGUACUCCUUUUGAGUAAGUCAGAAAU
RNAcentral lists this long non-coding RNA (1300 nucleotides) under Capra hircus (goat). RNAcentral describes it as "lncRNA (ENSCHIG00010015931.1)". Lineage: Eukaryota; Metazoa; Chordata; Mammalia; Artiodactyla; Bovidae. The record is from RNAcentral.